AGCGUACACGGUGGAUGCCUUGGCAAUCAGAGGCGAUGAAGGACGUGCUAAUCUGCGAUAAGCUUGGGUGAGUUGAUAAGAAGCGUUUAACCCAAGAUGUCCGAAUGGGGAAACCCAGUAGAUGAAGAAUCUACUAUCACUUGUUGAAUACAUAGGCAAGUGAAGCAAACCGGGAGAACUGAAACAUCUAAGUACCCCGAGGAAAAGAAAUCAACCGAGAUUCUGUCAGUAGCGGCGAGCGAAAGCGGAAGAGCCUGUUAGUGAUAGCAGUUUUGUUAGGAGAAUGUGCUGGGAAGCACAAUCAAAGAGGGUGAUAAUCCCGUAUCCGAAAACAUUACUGUGGUACUAAGCUAACGAAAAGUAGGGCGGGACACGAGAAAUCCUGUUUGAAGAUGGGGGGACCAUCCUCCAAGGCUAAAUACUCCUGAUUGACCGAUAGUGAACCAGUACUGUGAAGGAAAGGCGAAAAGAACCCCAGUGAGGGGAGUGAAAUAGAACCUGAAACCGUGUACGUACAAGCAGUGGGAGCAGAUUUAUUCUGUGACUGCGUACCUUUUGUAUAAUGGGUCAGCGACUUAUAUUUUGUAGCAAGGUUAACUGAAUAAGGGAGCCGAAGGGAAACCGAGUCUUAACUGGGCGAAGAGUUGCAAGGUAUAGACCCGAAACCCGGUGAUCUAGCCAUGAGCAGGUUGAAGAUUGGGUAACACUAAUUGGAGGACCGAACCGACUAAUGUUGAAAAAUUAGCGGAUGACUUGUGGCUGGGGGUGAAAGGCCAAUCAAACCGGGAGAUAGCUGGUUCUCCCCGAAAUCUAUUUAGGUAGAGCCUUGAGCGGACACCUUCGGGGGUAGAGCACUGUUUCGGCUAGGGGUCCAUCCCGGAUUACCAACCCGAUGCAAACUACGAAUACCGAAGAGUGAUACUCAGGAGACACACGGCGGGUGCUAACGUCCGUCGUGGAGAGGGAAACAACCCAGACCGCCAGCUAAGGUCCCAAAGUCUAUAUUAAGUGGGAAACGAAGUGGGAAGGCUUAGACAGCUAGGAUGUUGGCUUAGAAGCAGCCAUCAUUUAAAGAAAGCGUAAUAGCUCACUAGUCGAGUCGGCCUGCGCGGAAGAUGUAACGGGGCUCAAAUAUAGCACCGAAGCUGCGGCAUCAGACGAAAGUCUGUUGGGUAGGGGAGCGUUCUGUAAGCGGAUGAAGGUGAAUCGAGAGGUUUGCUGGACGUAUCAGAAGUGCGAAUGCUGACAUAAGUAACGAUAAAACGGGUGAAAAACCCGUUCGCCGGAAGACCAAGGGUUCCUGUCCAACGUUAAUCGGGGCAGGGUGAGUCGGCCCCUAAGGCGAGGCUGAAAAGCGUAGUCGAUGGGAAACGGGUUAAUAUUCCCGUACUUGGAUAAACUGCGAUGUGGGGACGGAGUAGGUUAGGUUAUCGCACUGUUGGAUAUGUGCGUUUAAGUUGGUAGGUGGGAAGUUUAGGCAAAUCCGGACUUCUAUUAAACACUGAGAGAUGAUGACGAGGCUCUACGGAGCUGAAGUAACCGAUACCACACUUCCAGGAAAAGCCACUAAGCUUCAGGUUUAUCUAAACCGUACUGAAAACCGACACAGGUGGUCAGGUAGAGAAUACUCAGGCGCUUGAGAGAACUCGGGUGAAGGAACUAGGCAAAAUAGCACCGUAACUUCGGGAGAAGGUGCGCCGGCGUAGAUUGUAACCCCUUGCGGGUGAAGGUUGAACCGGUCGAAGAUACCAGCUGGCUGCAACUGUUUAUUAAAAACACAGCACUCUGCAAACACGAAAGUGGACGUAUAGGGUGUGAUGCCUGCCCGGUGCUGGAAGGUUAAUUGAUGGUGUAAUCGAAAGAGAAGCUCCUGAUCGAAGCCCCAGUAAACGGCGGCCGUAACUAUAACGGUCCUAAGGUAGCGAAAUUCCUUGUCGGGUAAGUUCCGACCUGCACGAAUGGCAUAAUGAUGGCCAGGCUGUCUCCACCCGAGACUCAGUGAAAUUGAAAUCGCCGUGAAGAUGCGGUGUACCCGCGGCUAGACGGAAAGACCCCGUGAACCUUUACUAUAGCUUGACACUGAACAUUGAAUUUUGAUGUGUAGGAUAGGUGGGAGACUUAGAAGUAGGAACGCCAGUUUCUAUGGAGUCGACCUUGAAAUACCACCCUUUAACGUUUGAUGUUCUAACGAAGAUUGCGGAACGCGGUCUCGGACAGUGUCUGGUGGGUAGUUUGACUGGGGCGGUCUCCUCCCAAAGAGUAACGGAGGAGCACGAAGGUUUGCUAAUCACGGUCGGACAUCGUGAGGUUAGUGCAAUGGUAUAAGCAAGCUUAACUGCGAGACAGACAAGUCGAGCAGGUACGAAAGUAGGUCAUAGUGAUCCGGUGGUUCUGAAUGGAAGGGCCAUCGCUCAACGGAUAAAAGGUACUCCGGGGAUAACAGGCUGAUACCGCCCAAGAGUUCAUAUCGACGGCGGUGUUUGGCACCUCGAUGUCGGCUCAUCACAUCCUGGGGCUGAAGUAGGUCCCAAGGGUAUGGCUGUUCGCCAUUUAAAGUGGUACGCGAGCUGGGUUUAGAACGUCGUGAGACAGUUCGGUCCCUAUCUGCCGUGGGCGUUGGAGAAUUGAAAGGGGCUGCUCCUAGUACGAGAGGACCGGAGUGGACGCAUCCCUGGUGUUCCGGUUGUGUCGCCAGACGCAUUGCCGGGUAGCUACAUGCGGAAGAGAUAAGUGCUGAAAGCAUCUAAGCACGAAACUUGCCAAGAGAUGAGUUCUCCCAGAUUAUAAAUCUGUAAGGGUUGU
This 2802-nucleotide ribosomal RNA is filed under the name human oral metagenome. RNAcentral describes it as "bacterial LSU rRNA". It matches the Rfam family "Bacterial large subunit ribosomal RNA". The record is from RNAcentral.